GGGGGAGUAGUUCAAUCGGUUAGAGCACUUGCCUGUCACGCAAGAAGUUGCGGGUUCGAGUCCCGUCUCUCCCG
Molecule: transfer RNA, 74 nt
Filed under: bacterium
Lineage: Bacteria
Also listed under: 2 other names
Description: tRNA-Asp
Rfam family: tRNA
About the family: Transfer RNA (tRNA) molecules are approximately 80 nucleotides in length.
Source: RNAcentral